AACGAACGCUGGCGGCAGGCUUAACACAUGCAAGUCGAACGCUCCGCAAGGAGAGUGGCAGACGGGUGAGUAACGCGUGGGAACCUUCCUAUUGGUUCGGAAUAGCUCAGGGAAACUUGGGGUAAUACCGGAUAAGCCCUAUGGGGAAGGAUUAUCGCCAAUAGAUGGCCCGGCCGUCUGAUUAGUCUAGUUGGUGAGGUAAUGGCGUCACCAAGGCGACGAUCAGUAGCUGGUUUGAGAGAAUGACCAGCCACACUGGGAC
This 262-nucleotide ribosomal RNA is filed under the name uncultured bacterium. Its description in RNAcentral is "partial 16S ribosomal RNA". It matches the Rfam family "Bacterial small subunit ribosomal RNA", at positions 29 to 319 of the family's 1533-position model. The record is from RNAcentral.